Molecule: ribosomal RNA, 118 nt
Filed under: Clostridium cellulovorans
Lineage: Bacteria; Bacillati; Bacillota; Clostridia; Eubacteriales; Clostridiaceae
Source: RNAcentral
UCCAGUGAUUAUGCCUGGUAGGUAACACCCGUUCCCAUUCCGAACACGACGGUUAAGCUACUAAGGGCCGAUGAUACUGCAGGAGAGGUCUUGUGGGAAAGUAGGUUGUCGCUGGGUU